GAUGAACGCUGGCGGCGUGCCUAAUUCAUGCAAGUCGAGCGAACAGACGAGGAGCUUGCUCCUCUGACGUUAGCGGCGGACGGGUGAGUAACACGUGGAUAACCUACCUAUAAGACUGGGAUAACUUCGGGAAACCGGAGCUAAUACCGGAUAAUAUAUUGAACCGCAUGGUUCAAUAGUUAAAGACGGUUUUGCUGUCACUUAUAGAUGUAUCCGCGCCGCAUUAGCUAGUUGGUAAGGUAACGGCUUACCAAGGCAACGAUGCGUAGCCGACCUGAGAGGGUGAUCGGCCACACUGGAACUGAGACACGGUCCAGACUCCUACGGGAGGCAGCAGUAGGGAAUCUUCCGCAAUGGGCGAAAGCCUGACGGAGCAACGCCGCGUGAGUGAUGAAGGUCUUCGGAUCGUAAAACUCUGUUAUUAGGGAAGAACAAAUGUGGAAGUAACUAUGCACGUCUUGACGGUACCUAAUCAGAAAGCCACGGCUAACUACGUG
This 497-nucleotide ribosomal RNA is filed under the name uncultured bacterium. RNAcentral's name for it is "partial 16S ribosomal RNA". It matches the Rfam family "Bacterial small subunit ribosomal RNA", at positions 28 to 507 of the family's 1533-position model. The record is from RNAcentral.